GAUGUGAUAUUUUCAGUGUGUUGAAAGCUGCAAAUUGCAGCACAAUAUUUGCCCAAAAUUCAAAUUUGGGAAUGGGUUAAUGAGCUUCAGGUGUAUAAAAUGAUAUGUUUGUAAAGCUGGAAUAAGCACUAUAGUCACUAGCUAGUGCUGAGACAAAGCCUCAAAUAUUGUCCGAGAUUAAAUAUUGCAGCUGGGCUAUAGCCCGGCUCAAAAUAUUGUUCUCAACAGUUGGAAAUGUCUGGAUUGAGUUGACAAACUGGUGUUGUGAGGUAAAAAUAGCACUGUCCAAGUUUAUUGCAAUUGAUACAGAAUAUCAUAGCCUUGCCUAUAGCCAGACUAGUCUUCUUAAUUAGUGCUUUAUAUGAAGAAAAUUAUAUACUGGCCUAGCUAAAGUGGCCCCCCAAGCCAGACAAAUCAGUCUGGAUCUUGUAAACACCCCUAAGCUGGGCCGUGGCAACUGGUAUGUGUUUAAUUGAGUUAAUUAAGAUUUAUUUAAUGUUAAAUUUAGUAUUUAUGGGUUAACAGGACAUAAUGGCAGAUGUCUUGUUAACCCAUUAAUGUUCAAGACUCUUCCCUUGACGAGUAACAUUGCUGACAGAGUAAAUACUAAAUUUACACAGACAAUGAGAUAGAGUGAGCGUUAGACAGUAAAUACUAAAGUUGGGCACAUGGGGUACAUGAAAGGGUUAAUCCAUUGAGCAAAACUGCUAUCCCCUUGAAGAGUAAAGUUGUCUGGUGUUAGACAGAGUAAAAUAAUAAAGUAGGAUGCAAUGAAACUUAAUGGGUAACAUUUACUUAUUAUUCAUUUUUGUAUAGUAAUGCCAUGCCUAACAGAUAUUGUUUCCAACUUGGAAGAGCAAUUACGACUCUUGCAAAAUGGCCAGUGUUCUUCUUCAAGACCAUAUGCAUCAAUGAUGACCACAAGGAUUAACAAUGAUGAACACAAGGAUUAACAAUAUUGUGAAAAAAAGAAAGUAUCUACACAUAACAGUAACAUUGACACUUAUUCUAAUAAGAAUAUUCACUAAAUAGAGUAAUCCUACAACAGUUUGACUAGCCCAAUGUUUAUUUUUAAAUUCUUGCAUAGUUGUUUUGUUUUGUGGACAAUAUGCCACAUACAUUGGUUCUGUUGGCAGCACUUAAUUUUAAUUUAAGCCUGGAUAUUUACAUCUGUUUAUACAUACUUAAUAUUGAAAUCCAGGCACAUUGAAAUCUUUGCUGCAAAGUUUAUGUAAGUGAUAUUCUCCACCAAAUAAAAUUGCUAUAAUUGUUUCCAGGCAUGAGGCAGUUGUAUCUUGCAGCUGCUGACUACUUUUUAAAUACCCAUUUCCUACUGUAGUUCAAUGGUAGCUAUAAACAUAUAAUUCUGAUCAUGGUUAACUAGCUG
Molecule: non-coding RNA, 1387 nt
Organism: Paramuricea clavata
Lineage: Eukaryota; Metazoa; Cnidaria; Anthozoa; Malacalcyonacea; Plexauridae
Source: the annotation of a GenBank genome assembly